UAGGGAAUCUUCCGCAAUGGGCGAAAGCCUGACGGAGCAACGCCGCGUGAGUGAUGAAGGCCUUCGGGUUGUAAAACUCUGUCUUCUGUGAAGAACAAGCCUGUGAGUGGAAAGCUCAGGCCUUGACGGUAACAGAGGAGGAAGCCCCGGCUAACUACGUGCCAGCAGCCGCGGUAAUACGUAGGGGGCAAGCGUUGUCCGGAAUCACUGGGCGUAAAGCGCGCGCAGGCGGCGAUCUGCGUCUGGGGUGAAAGCCCGGAGCUCAACUCCGGGAUUGCCUUGGAUACGGGGUCGCUUGAGGAUCGGAGAGGCAAGGGGAAUUCCACGUGUAGCGGUGAAAUGCGUAGAGAUGUGGAGGAACACCUGUGGCGAAGGCGCCUUGCUGGCCGAUUUCUGACGCUGAGGCGCGAAAGCGUGGGGAGCAAACA
RNAcentral lists this ribosomal RNA (428 nucleotides) under uncultured Alicyclobacillus sp. RNAcentral's name for it is "bacterial SSU rRNA". It matches the Rfam family "Bacterial small subunit ribosomal RNA", at positions 355 to 774 of the family's 1533-position model. Lineage: Bacteria; Bacillati; Bacillota; Bacilli; Caryophanales; Alicyclobacillaceae. RNAcentral also lists the same sequence under 1 other name. The record is from RNAcentral.